AUUUAAAUAGCUUAAUUAGAGCAUAAUAUUGAAGAUAUUAGGGUAACUAUACGUUUUUAAAUA
This 63-nucleotide transfer RNA is filed under the name Planopleura kaempferi. Its description in RNAcentral is "tRNA-Phe". The record is from RNAcentral. Lineage: Eukaryota; Metazoa; Arthropoda; Insecta; Hemiptera; Cicadidae.